This 270-nucleotide ribosomal RNA is filed under the name uncultured bacterium. RNAcentral describes it as "partial 16S ribosomal RNA". It matches the Rfam family "Bacterial small subunit ribosomal RNA", at positions 29 to 319 of the family's 1533-position model. The record is from RNAcentral.
AGCGAACGCUGGCGGCAUGCUUAACACAUGCAAGUCGCACGGGCAGGGCAACCUGUCAGUGGCGGACGGGUGAGUAACGCGUAGGUAUCUAUCCUUGGGUGGGGACGAACGGUUGGAACGACUGCUAAUACCGCAUGAUAACUAGAGGUUUAAAGGUACGCAAGUCGCCUGAGGAGGAGCCUGCGUACGAUUAGCUAGUUGGUGGGGUAAAGGACCUACCAAGGCUGUGAUCGUUAGCUGGUCUGAGAGGAUGAUCAGCCACAUUGGGAC